UACGGAGGGUGCAAGCGUUAUCCGGAUUCACUGGGUUUAAAGGGUGUGUAGGCGGGUCGUUAAGUCAGUGGUGAAAUCUCAAGGCUCAACCUUGAAACUGCCAUUGAUACUAUCGAUCUUGAAUCUUGUUGAGGUAGGCGGAAUAUGUCAUGUAGCGGUGAAAUGCUUAGAUAUGACAUAGAACACCGAUUGCGAAGGCAGCUUACUAAACAAGCAUUGACGCUGAGGCACGAAAGCGUGGGGAUCAAACAGG
This 253-nucleotide ribosomal RNA is filed under the name uncultured bacterium. RNAcentral's name for it is "partial 16S ribosomal RNA". It matches the Rfam family "Bacterial small subunit ribosomal RNA", at positions 524 to 776 of the family's 1533-position model. The record is from RNAcentral.